This is a non-coding RNA of Paramisgurnus dabryanus, 569 nucleotides long. The record is from RefSeq and is a predicted model, not a curated record. Lineage: Eukaryota; Metazoa; Chordata; Actinopteri; Cypriniformes; Cobitidae.
UCCGAUGGGUACUUUGGCCGUCAUAAGCGUAGGUUUAAUCGUCAGCAUAUUUUCAGGUAUAAAACAGAUGCGUUUUUGGCAUGUGAGGCACACUACAUCCAUUGUUCUGAACAACUGAUGCCAUACUUUGUAUCCAAGGAGGAAGACAGCUAAAACUGCAGCCUGGGCUUACCCUAUCAAAAGACGAUCUCACCUGCUACAAAGCCUACAAGACACUCAAAGAAAAGGUUUUAGGUACUGCGGGAAAGCUUGAUCUUGCACAAGAGCUAGAAAUAUCGCUUGGAAAAUCAAACCAUGCUUUCUGUGAUAUGGAGAUAUCUACUCAGAGUUUGCCUUAGAAAUAUUAUAAAGAUGAAAAUGUUUGCACAACUUUUCUUUUUCUAAUUUUAUAUACAAACACAAACACAUGGGGAAACUUUCUGAAAUCUUACUACAGUAGCAGUAAAAAAAACAUUUGUCCAAAAAUGGAAAAUUUUAAGCAUCCAAAUAUAUAAAAGACAUUUGCUGAAACUGAAUUGAACUUUUGAUUCUGCAUACAUUUAUAGUUUGGCACAGAGAGUUUUAAAAGA